UGCUGAUUAUUCCUACAAAGGUCUGAUUUUAAUCAUUUUUUUUAGGAAUUUGUCUAAGGCAGACAAGAGAACAGUAUAAUGAGCAUUCAUGCCCAUCAUACUGUUUUAGCAAAAUUAACAUUGUAUCAUUUGGUUUAGAUCAAAUAAGAAUAUCAGUUCAUGAGUCAUGUACUUUUUAUGUACAAACACUAAACUCAGACUGUGAGCAUGUUAAAGUUGAAUAAACCUAGUUUUUCUUUCAAGGGCGUUAUCU
This 253-nucleotide long non-coding RNA is filed under the name Bos taurus (domestic cattle). Its description in RNAcentral is "long non-coding RNA NONBTAT015920". Lineage: Eukaryota; Metazoa; Chordata; Mammalia; Artiodactyla; Bovidae. The record is from RNAcentral.